AGAAUCAAAGAGAAUGAAAACAAGAAAAUGGAAAAGAUAUCAGUAUAGACAACUAAAUAGAAGGGCAGAUACACGCCACAAAUAACGUGUACUGUAUGGUUGUCUUGUAUCUAGGGGAAGAUGCAAGAUAAUAGACUCAAGAGGGAUUUCAUCUAAAAUUUAUGUUUCAUUCUGAUUGUUAAUUACUUGUUAUCGGUUAUGUUUCCUUUCUUCUUUCUUUUUUUGAUAAUUUGUUCGGUAUGUCCACAUCAGUCUGAGUUAUAAUUUUGAUAGGUUAAAAAACAGUCCGAUAUUUUUCUGUAUCAACCA
RNAcentral lists this long non-coding RNA (309 nucleotides) under Mytilus galloprovincialis (Mediterranean mussel). Lineage: Eukaryota; Metazoa; Mollusca; Bivalvia; Mytilida; Mytilidae. The record is from RNAcentral.